This 687-nucleotide ribosomal RNA is filed under the name uncultured bacterium. RNAcentral describes it as "bacterial SSU rRNA". It matches the Rfam family "Bacterial small subunit ribosomal RNA", at positions 808 to 1501 of the family's 1533-position model. The record is from RNAcentral.
UAUGGAUACUAGUUGUUCGAGCUACAUUGGUAGUUUGAGUGACUAAGCGAAAGUGAUAAGUAUCCCACCUGGGGAGUACGUUCGCAAGAAUGAAACUCAAAGGAAUUGACGGGGGCCCGCACAAGCGGUGGAGCAUGUGGUUUAAUUCGAUGAUACGCGAGGAACCUUACCAGGGCUUAAAUGUAGAUUGGCAGAGGUGGAAACACUUCCUUCUUCGGACAAUUUACAAGGUGCUGCAUGGUUGUCGUCAGCUCGUGCCGUGAGGUGUCAGGUUAAGUCCUAUAACGAGCGCAACCCCUGUCGUUAGUUGCCAGCGAGUCAUGUCGGGAACUCUAACGAGACUGCCAGUGCAAACUGUGAGGAAGGUGGGGACGACGUCAAAUCAUCACGGCCCUUACGUCCUGGGCUACACACGUGCUACAAUGGUAGGGACAAAGAGCAGCCACUGGGUGACCAGGAGCGAAUCUUCAAACCCUAUCUCAGUUCGGAUCGAAGUCUGCAACUCGACUUCGUGAAGCUGGAAUCGCUAGUAAUCGCAGAUCAGCCAUGCUGCGGUGAAUACGUUCCCGGGCCUUGUACACACCGCCCGUCAAGCCAUGGAAGUUGGGAGUACCUGAAGUCGGUGACUUUAUGGGGAGCUGCCUAGGGUAAAACCAAUGACUGGGGCUAAGUCGUAACAAGGUAGCA